This 732-nucleotide long non-coding RNA is filed under the name Mytilus galloprovincialis (Mediterranean mussel). Lineage: Eukaryota; Metazoa; Mollusca; Bivalvia; Mytilida; Mytilidae. The record is from RNAcentral.
CUGGCGGCCAUCUUAGAUGUUGGAUCGGCUACAAAGUAACACCACUUGGUCAGCACCUCAUAAGGAACAUUCAUACUAUGUUUGGUUUCAUUCCAUUCAGUGGUUCUCUAAAAGAAGUCAUUUGUAUAAAAUUCCCAUAGGGUCCUAUGUUAAACUAAGUCCCUUGCUGGUGGCCAUCUUGGAUGACGGAUCGGCUACAAAGUAACAACACUUGGUCAGCUACUCAUAAGGAACGUUCAUGCUAUGUUUGGUUUCAUUCCAUUCAGUGGUUCUCUAAAAGAAGACAUUUGUAUGUAUUUCCCAUUGGGUCCUAUGUUAAACUAAGUCCCCCACUGGCGGCCAUCUUGGAUGAUUGAUUGGCUACAAAGUAACUACACUUGGUCAUCACCUCAUAAGGAACAUUCAUACUAUGUUUGGUUUCAUUCCAUUCAGUGUUUCUCUAUAAGAAGUCAUUUGUAUGAAUUUCCCAUAGGGUCCUAUGUUAAACUAAGUCCCCCGCUGGCAACCAUCUUGGAUGACGGAUCGGCUACAAAGUAACAACACUUGGUCAGCUCCUCAUAAGGAACAUUCAUGCUAUGUUUGGUUUCAUUCAAUUCAGUGGUUCUCUAAAAGAAGACAUUUGUAUGUAUUUCCCAUUGGGUCCUAUGUUAAACUAAGUCCCCCACUGGCGGCCAUCUUGGAUGAUGGAUCGGCUACACAGUAACAACACUUGGUCAUCACCUCAUAGGGCAC